RNAcentral lists this ribosomal RNA (253 nucleotides) under uncultured bacterium. Its description in RNAcentral is "partial 16S ribosomal RNA". It matches the Rfam family "Bacterial small subunit ribosomal RNA", at positions 524 to 776 of the family's 1533-position model. The record is from RNAcentral.
UACAGAGGCCACGAGCGUUAGUCGGAAUCACUGGGCUUAAAGGGUGCGUAGGCGGGUCUGCAAGCGUUUUGUGAAAGCCCCCGGCUCAACCGGGGAACAGCAGAGCGAACUGCGGAUCUUGAGGCAAGUAGGCGCGGGAAGAACAGUCGGUGGAGCGGUGAAAUGCGUAGAUAUCGACUGGAAUGCCGAUGGUGAAGACGUCCCGCUAGGCUUGUCCUGACGCUGAGGCACGAAAGCGUGGGGAGCAAACAGG